RNAcentral lists this ribosomal RNA (454 nucleotides) under uncultured Bacteroides sp. RNAcentral's name for it is "partial 16S ribosomal RNA". It matches the Rfam family "Bacterial small subunit ribosomal RNA", at positions 341 to 792 of the family's 1533-position model. The record is from RNAcentral. Lineage: Bacteria; Pseudomonadati; Bacteroidota; Bacteroidia; Bacteroidales; Bacteroidaceae.
ACGGAAGGCAGCAGUGAGGAAUAUUGGUCAAUGGGCGCAAGCCUGAACCAGCCAAGUCGCGUGAAGGAAGACUGCCCUAUGGGUUGUAAACUUCUUUUGCAUGGGAAUAAAGUGAGCCACGUGUGGCUUUUUGUAUGUACCAUGCGAAUAAGCAUUGGCUAACUCCGUGCCAGCAGCCGCGGUAAUACGGAGGAUGCGAGCGUUAUCCGGAUUUAUUGGGUUUAAAGGGUGCGUAGGCGGGAUGGUAAGUCAGUGGUGAAAGUUUGCGGCUCAACCGUAAAAUUGCCGUUGAAACUGCCGUCCUUGAGUGCGAGCGGGGUAGGCGGAAUGUGCCGUGUAGCGGUGAAAUGCAUAGAUAUGGUACAGAACUCCGAUUGCGAAGGCAGCCUACCAGUACGCUACUGACGCUGAGGCACGAAAGCAUGGGUAUCGAACAGGAUUAGAUACCCUGGUA